Molecule: non-coding RNA, 107 nt
Filed under: Oceanospirillum multiglobuliferum
Lineage: Bacteria; Pseudomonadati; Pseudomonadota; Gammaproteobacteria; Oceanospirillales; Oceanospirillaceae
Description: TPP sequence
Rfam family: TPP riboswitch aptamer (THI element)
About the family: Vitamin B(1) in its active form thiamin pyrophosphate (TPP) is an essential coenzyme that is synthesised by coupling of pyrimidine and thiazole moieties in bacteria.
Source: Rfam by way of RNAcentral
ACAGUCUUGACGGGGUGCAAUGGUAGGCUGAGAUCACUGCAAUAGCGGUGAAACCCGACGAACCUGAACUGGGUAAUGCCAGCGUAGGAAUCGAGCAACAGUGUGCG